RNAcentral lists this ribosomal RNA (290 nucleotides) under Tersicoccus phoenicis. RNAcentral's name for it is "partial 23S ribosomal RNA". It matches the Rfam family "Bacterial large subunit ribosomal RNA", at positions 2644 to 2925 of the family's 2925-position model. Lineage: Bacteria; Bacillati; Actinomycetota; Actinomycetes; Micrococcales; Micrococcaceae. The record is from RNAcentral.
GCUGCGCGCGCAGGAAAUUUGAGAAGGGCUGUCCUUAGUACGAGAGGACCGGGACGGACGAACCUCUGGUGUGUCAGUUGUACUGCCAAGUGCACCGCUGAUUAGCUACGUUCGGAUGGGAUAACCGCUGAAAGCAUCUAAGCGGGAAGCCUGCUUCAAGAUGAGAUUUCCAUACCCGUGAGGGUUGAAGGCCCCCAGCUAGACCACUGGGUUGAUAGGCUGGAUGUGGAAGCGAGGACUGAAGACUCGUGAAGCUGACCAGUACUAAUAGGCCGACAACUUACACCACA